GCAAGCUGGGUCACACAAGUGGCCUGAGCGAGCUGCGGGUGGGCGGCGGUGCCAUGAACCUGGGAGAUGGUUUAAAGCUUGAAACGGAAUUAUUGGAUGGAAAGACCAAGCUAAUACUGUCUCCGUAUGUCUUACCUCGGAAAGAAUGUUGAAAUAAAAGUGAAAUGGGAGUGAAUACCUGAACCGCCACAUUGUAAAAGUUGGAGUAUUCAGAUGGGAAAUAAGAUCAAGAUUGCAAAAUAUUCUUUAAGAACAAAACAGACUGGACAUACUUUAAAGUCAACACAAAAUACUUACAUUGGGAGUGAAAAUCUUUCUCAAAAGAAGAUCUCUACUUCAGACACUUCACAAGCAA
This 355-nucleotide long non-coding RNA is filed under the name Rattus norvegicus (Norway rat). RNAcentral's name for it is "long non-coding RNA NONRATT011715". The record is from RNAcentral. Lineage: Eukaryota; Metazoa; Chordata; Mammalia; Rodentia; Muridae.